RNAcentral lists this ribosomal RNA (239 nucleotides) under uncultured Lactobacillus sp. RNAcentral's name for it is "partial 16S ribosomal RNA". It matches the Rfam family "Bacterial small subunit ribosomal RNA", at positions 125 to 354 of the family's 1533-position model. The record is from RNAcentral. Lineage: Bacteria; Bacillati; Bacillota; Bacilli; Lactobacillales; Lactobacillaceae.
CCGUAGCCCAAGAGAUCGGGAUAACACCUGGAAACAGAUGCUAAUACCGGAUAACAACAGAUGAUGCCUAUCAACUGUUUAAAAGAUGGUUCUGCUAUCACUCUUGGAUGGACCUGCGGUGCAUUAGCUAGUUGGUAGGGUAACGGCCUGCCAAGGCGAGGAUGCAUAGCCGAGUUGAGAGACUGAUCGGCCACAUUGGGACUGAGACACGGCCCAAACUCCUACGGGAGGCAGCAGGC